Molecule: ribosomal RNA, 447 nt
Filed under: uncultured bacterium
Lineage: Bacteria
Description: bacterial SSU rRNA
Rfam family: Bacterial small subunit ribosomal RNA
Source: RNAcentral
UGGGGAAUCUUGGACAAUGGGCGCAAGCCUGAUCCAGCCAUGCCGCGUGGAUGAUGAAGGCCCUAGGGUUGUAAAAUCCUUUCGUUGGGGACGAUAAUGACGGUACCCAAAGAAGAAGCUCCGACUAACUUCGUGCCAGCAGCCGCGGUAAUACGAAGGGGGCUAGCGUUGUUCGGAUUUACUGGGCGUAAAGCGCGUGUAGGCGGGUCGUUAAGUUGGGGGUGAAAUCCCGAGGCUCAACCUCGGAACUGCCUUCAAAACUGGCGACCUGGACUCAAGUAGAGGCAAGUGGAAUUGCGAGUGUAGAGGUGAAAUUCGUAGAUAUUCGCAGGAACACCAGUGGCGAAGGCGACUUGCUGGACUUGUAGUGACGCUGAGACGCGAAAGCGUGGGGAGCAAACAGGAUUAGAUACCCACGUAGUCCCUGAGCGGGCUGGCAAGGCGCAU